AUUCUCCCGUGUAUAUAACACACAUGUAUCGACACAUACGCCGGGGUGCCUUGAACGUAGUGAGAGGUCGGUUGUAUGGGAUACAUGGAGGCUUAAC
Molecule: small RNA, 97 nt
Filed under: Erwinia mallotivora
Lineage: Bacteria; Pseudomonadati; Pseudomonadota; Gammaproteobacteria; Enterobacterales; Erwiniaceae
Description: t44 RNA
Rfam family: t44 RNA
About the family: This family consists of a number of bacterial RNA genes of between 135 and 170 bases in length. The t44 gene is found between the map and rpsB genes in all species in the full alignment apart from Shigella flexneri.
Source: Rfam by way of RNAcentral